GAUGAAGAACGUAGCGAAAUGCGAUAAGUAAUGUGAAUUGCAGAAUUCAGUGAAUCAUCGAAUCUUUGAACGCACAUUGCGCCCCCUGGUAUUCCGGGGGGCAUGCCUGUUCGAGCGUCAUUUCACCACUCAAGCCUCGCUUGGUAUUGGGCAACGCGGUCCGCCGCGUGCCUCAAAUCGUCCGGCUGGGUCUUCUGUCCCCUAAGCGUUGUGGAAACUAUUCGCUAAAGGGUGUUCGGGAGGCUACGCCGUAAAACAACCCCAUUUCUAAGGUUGACCUCGGAUCAGGUAGGGAUACCCGCUGAACUUAAGCAUAUCAAUAAGCGAGGA
This 330-nucleotide unclassified non-coding RNA is filed under the name soil metagenome. RNAcentral describes it as "partial contains 5.8S ribosomal RNA, internal transcribed spacer 2, and large subunit ribosomal RNA". The stretch from base 1 to 120 matches the Rfam family "5.8S ribosomal RNA", at positions 35 to 154 of the family's 154-position model. The record is from RNAcentral.